CGCACAUUGCGCCCCUUGGUAUUCCAUGGGGCAUGCCUGUUCGAGCGUCAUUUGUACCUUCAAGCUUUGCUUGGUGUUGGGUGUUUGUCCAGUACUGGACUCGCCUUAAAGCAAUUGGCAGCCGGCAUAUUGUCUAGGAGCGCAGCACAUUUUGCGUCUUCUGUCAGUUUAUGUUGGCGUCCAUUAAGCCUUUCUCACUUUUGACCUCGGAUCAGGUAGGGAUACCCGCUGAACUUAA
This 238-nucleotide unclassified non-coding RNA is filed under the name Tzeanania taiwanensis. RNAcentral's name for it is "partial contains 5.8S ribosomal RNA, internal transcribed spacer 2, and large subunit ribosomal RNA". The record is from RNAcentral. Lineage: Eukaryota; Fungi; Ascomycota; Dothideomycetes; Pleosporales; Tzeananiaceae.